This 226-nucleotide long non-coding RNA is filed under the name Elaeis guineensis (African oil palm). Its description in RNAcentral is "long non-coding RNA (EGUI_LNC033477)". Lineage: Eukaryota; Viridiplantae; Streptophyta; Magnoliopsida; Arecales; Arecaceae. The record is from RNAcentral.
CACGAUCACAUAAUUUCAAAAUAAGUGGGAUCCAUAUGCCUAACCGUUAUAAAUAAUUACCAACAACUCAUCUAUAAAAGGGAGGUAAAUGAACAGCAUUGGUAAGAUGCUUUUGGAUUGAGACUCUGCUACUUUGAAUAUUUUAUCUAUUGUUCACUACUCCUUACUGACUUAAGCAUCGGAGAAUCUCUGUCGGACAUAAUUUUGGUCAGUAGACUUCUUUUGU